AUCUAUAUAGCUUAUAAAGAGCACUAUAUUGAAGCCAUAGUUGAGAUUAUGUCUGUAGAUA
This 61-nucleotide transfer RNA is filed under the name Hyalella kochi. RNAcentral describes it as "tRNA-Phe". RNAcentral also lists the same sequence under 1 other name. Lineage: Eukaryota; Metazoa; Arthropoda; Malacostraca; Amphipoda; Hyalellidae. The record is from RNAcentral.